AAAAACGAUCAUAAAAAUUCUGUUUUUUUGGAACGUGCUUAGAACUUCGGCAAUUUCUAUCCGAAUUGUAACUUAACUUUCUGCUUUGUGUUCCAACAACGAAAUCUCUUUCUAGUGUUAUAAAAGUUAAACAGACAUUUUUCUGUACUAUACGAAAGGACUGCCAAUAUGUCAUAUGAAAUUAGAAUUUACAACAGCUAUCUGGGCUGAUAUCUACUUGUGAUUGUUUGGGCCAACUUCCGUGCCUCUGAGUGUAGUAAAAUUCUGACGAAGUAAAAUCAAGCAGGUAAGUUGUCUGGAAAACGUUGGUGCGCUGCGUCUUAUUGUGCAACAAGCCUAGCACGAUCCGGGGCCCGAUUCUCCUAAUUUUACUUAAGAGGGCUAUCACAAUUUUUCGAGUUUUAUACGAGUUUUGAUGCGUCAUUAUGCUUUGGAUAUAGUCACAAAAAAAAAACAAAAAUAAGAUUAAGAAAGUUUGAUCAUUUAUCUUGGGGCUGUUUUCAAUAAAUAUUUUAAUUUGUCCACGUACAUCAGUAAAAUCUUUGUCUCUGCAAAGGAUGUUUCAUAAAAUGUUGCUUUUGGGAAUCUUUUGAUGCUUCAGUACUACGAGGAUAUAGCAAUUUAACCAUUUAUAAAAAUGUUCAAGAUACAACUAUAUCUUGUACUUGUGCUUGCUUACACCAAUUUAUUACAAUUCAUACAGUAAUACACCAAAAAUAAUUCUAUAAAACUGAGAGUUACUGACAAUUUUCCGUACAAAACUAUAUUUUUUAUCUAUGAAAGUAUAAUCCAAAUUCAAAUAAAACAUAUUUAAUAAUUAAGGUGGUAUUGUUAUAAAGCUUGAAAAAAAAAUUGGUCUAUUUAAAAGUAAAACAAUAUUUUAAAAUAAUUUUUGUUUGCAAUGCAAAAAUCAAUAUAAAUCUUGUGACGCGCGGUGUUCAACUUUAGUCAGCGCCAAGCGCUUAUCGAGGGAGGACGUAUCGCUCGCUGUUGCGCCGCGCAAACUCGCCGGAGCUCGAAAAAUAUAGCGCAACCUGCGCAACGAACUCGUUUUGAUACUAGAUAAUGAAAGCAUAUUUAAUUCAGAUUAUCAGACUCAAUCGGAUACCAGUACAAAUAAUAUGGAAAAUGAAGAUACAAUACAUGGAAGACGAAUUAUAGAUUUUAGUUUUUUUAUAAAUCAAUUACUUAUACCUAAUUGAUAAACAUGGUGAAAAGUUUGGUUGUCGAUUAAAUAAUUUAAAAAUUGUAAACGA
Helicoverpa armigera (cotton bollworm) is the source of this 1256-nucleotide long non-coding RNA. RefSeq lists it as uncharacterized. The transcript is spliced from 3 exons. The record is from RefSeq and is a predicted model, not a curated record. NCBI's taxonomy places the organism in Eukaryota, Metazoa, Arthropoda, Insecta, Lepidoptera, Noctuidae.